Molecule: long non-coding RNA, 227 nt
Filed under: Elaeis guineensis (African oil palm)
Lineage: Eukaryota; Viridiplantae; Streptophyta; Magnoliopsida; Arecales; Arecaceae
Description: long non-coding RNA (EGUI_LNC014533)
Source: RNAcentral
GAUCUAAUAAUUUAAAAAAUUUAAUUUAUAAAUUAAGAGAAGAGAAGAGAUCAAUCAGUAAAUCACAAUUCUCUCACUGACUUCACCAAGUCAUUGAAUUAGAUUAGGGUCAUGCUGGUUGAAAUGGCACCUAGAACAAUUACACUGAUCAACCUUAAUGGUAUGGGUUAACUCAAAUCACUUAGCAGUCUAAUCAAGAUAUAUCCAUCAAAUUGGCUAGAUAAGUG